This is a small nuclear RNA of Meriones unguiculatus (Mongolian gerbil), 107 nucleotides long. NCBI's taxonomy places the organism in Eukaryota, Metazoa, Chordata, Mammalia, Rodentia, Muridae. The record is from RefSeq and is a predicted model, not a curated record.
UUGCUAACUUCAGCAGCAUAUAUGCUAAAAUUGGAAUGAUACAGAGAAGAUUAGCAUGGCACCUGUGCAAGAAUGACAUGUGAAUUCAUAAAUCAUUCCCUAUAUUU